RNAcentral lists this ribosomal RNA (254 nucleotides) under uncultured bacterium. Its description in RNAcentral is "partial 16S ribosomal RNA". It matches the Rfam family "Bacterial small subunit ribosomal RNA", at positions 524 to 776 of the family's 1533-position model. The record is from RNAcentral.
UACGAAGGGGACUAGCGUUGUUCGGAAUCACUGGGCGUAAAGCGCACGUAGGCGGAUUCGUAAGUCAGGGGUGAAAUCCCGGGGGCUCAACCUCGGAACUGCCUUUGAUACUGCGGGUCUUGAGUCCGAUAGAGGUGGGUGGAAUUCCUAGUGUAGAGGUGAAAUUCGUAGAUAUUAGGAAGAACACCGGUGGCGAAGGUGGCCCACUGGAUCGGUACUGACGCUGAGGUGCGAAAGCGUGGGGAGCAAACAGG